AGCGAACGCUGGCGGCAGGCUUAACACAUGCAAGUCGAGCGGGCGUAGCAAUACGUCAGCGGCAGACGGGUGAGUAACGCGUGGGAACGUACCUUUUGGUUCGGAACAACACAGGGAAACUUGUGCUAAUACCGGAUAAGCCCUUACGGGGAAAGAUUUAUCGCCGAAAGAUCGGCCCGCGUCUGAUUAGCUAGUUGGUGAGGUAACGGCUCACCAAGGCGACGAUCAGUAGCUGGCUGAGAGGAUGAUCAGCCACAUUGGGACUGAGACACGGCCCAAACUCCUACGGGAGGCAGCAGUGGGGAAUAUUGGACAAUGGGCGCAAGCCUGAUCCAGCCAUGCCGCGUGAGUGAUGAAGGCCCUAGGGUUGUAAAGCUCUUUUGUGCGGGAAGAUAAUGACGGUAGCGGGAGAAGAAGCCCCGGCUAACUUCGUGCCAGCCGCCG
RNAcentral lists this ribosomal RNA (444 nucleotides) under uncultured bacterium. RNAcentral describes it as "bacterial SSU rRNA". It matches the Rfam family "Bacterial small subunit ribosomal RNA", at positions 29 to 517 of the family's 1533-position model. The record is from RNAcentral.